Molecule: ribosomal RNA, 465 nt
Filed under: uncultured bacterium
Lineage: Bacteria
Description: partial 16S ribosomal RNA
Rfam family: Bacterial small subunit ribosomal RNA
Source: RNAcentral
CUACGGGGUGCAGCAGUGGGGAAUAUUGCGCAAUGGGGGAAACCCUGACGCAGUGACGCCGUGUGAGUGAUGAAGGUUUUCGGAUCGUAAAGCUCUGUCAGACGGGAAGAAUAAGAACAGUAAAAAUAUUGCUGUUUGAUGACGGUACCGUCAGAGGAAGCACCGGCUAACUCCGUGCCAGCAGCCGCGGUAAUACGGAGGGUGCAAACGUUGUUCGGAAGUACUGGGCGUAAAGCGCAUGUAGGCGGAUAUGUAGGUCAGAUGUGAAAUCCCUUGGCUCAACCAAGGAAGUGCAUCUGAAACCCCAUAUCUUGAGUACGAGAGAGGGAAGUGGAAUUCCCAGUGUAGAGGUGAAAUUCAUAGAUAUUGGGAAGAACACCGGUGGCGAAGGCGGCUUUCUGGCUCGUAACUGACGCUGAGAUGCGAAAGCGUGGGGAGCAAACAGGAUUAGAUACCCUCGUAGUC